AAGUCGUAACAAGGUUUCCGUAGGUGAACCUGCGGAAGGAUCAUUACUUGAUAUCUAAUGCGAGGACACACUCUGUACUCACAUUCGAUUCAUCAAACAACACCAAUCUGUGCUCUUAUUCUUUUCCACCCCGCACUUAUAAGCAAUUUCAUCAUUGCUUCAUUUCUUACUCGACUGACUGUAUUGAGUGUACAGAGUGACACAGUGUAAUAACUGUACCACCUCUGGUACUCAUCUGUAUAUGACAGGAAGGUACAUCACUUCAUUGGGAUGCACCAUUCUGUUAUAUACUUGUUGAACUAAUAUCUUACACACUAUAGUGAUAUAGUGUUGGAUAUUCUGAACAACUCCUAACAAUGGAUAUCUCGGCUCUC
This 374-nucleotide unclassified non-coding RNA is filed under the name fungal sp. RNAcentral describes it as "partial internal transcribed spacer region". The stretch from base 1 to 46 matches the Rfam family "Eukaryotic small subunit ribosomal RNA", at positions 1786 to 1831 of the family's 1831-position model. Lineage: Eukaryota; Fungi. The record is from RNAcentral.